AGGGCUUUAGGAUAAGUAAUCUAAAGGCCUUCAAAGCCUUCUAUAGAGGUUAAACUCCUCUAAGCCCUG
Molecule: transfer RNA, 69 nt
Filed under: Solenostomus paradoxus (harlequin ghost pipefish)
Lineage: Eukaryota; Metazoa; Chordata; Actinopteri; Syngnathiformes; Solenostomidae
Description: tRNA-Trp
Rfam family: tRNA
About the family: Transfer RNA (tRNA) molecules are approximately 80 nucleotides in length. Their secondary structure includes four short double-helical elements and three loops (D, anti-codon, and T loops).
Source: RNAcentral